RNAcentral lists this ribosomal RNA (284 nucleotides) under Mythimna pallens. Its description in RNAcentral is "partial 16S large subunit ribosomal RNA". The record is from RNAcentral. Lineage: Eukaryota; Metazoa; Arthropoda; Insecta; Lepidoptera; Noctuidae.
AAUAUAAACUGUCUCUUGAUUAUAAAUAGAAUUUAAUUUUUUAAUUAAAAAGUUAAAAUAAUUUAAAAAGACGAGAAGACCCUAUAGAGUUUUAUAAUUUUAUUAAUUAAGAUUAUUUAAUAAGUUAAGAAUUGAGAUUAUUAAAAUUAUUUUGUUGGGGUGACAGAAAAAUAAAUUCAACUUUUUUUUAGUGUAUACAUAUAUAAGUGGUUUUUUGAUCCAGUAUUAUUGAUUAUAAGAAAAAAUUACCUUAGGGAUAACAGCGUAAUUUUUUUUUUUAGUUC